This 497-nucleotide ribosomal RNA is filed under the name uncultured bacterium. Its description in RNAcentral is "partial 16S ribosomal RNA". It matches the Rfam family "Bacterial small subunit ribosomal RNA", at positions 28 to 507 of the family's 1533-position model. The record is from RNAcentral.
GAUGAACGCUGGCGGCGUGCCUAAUACAUGCAAGUCGAGCGAACAGAUGAGGAGCUUGCUCCUCUGACGUUAGCGGCGGACGGGUGAAUAACACGUGGAUAACCUACCUAUAAGACUGGGAUCACUUCGGGAAACCGGAGCUAAUACCGGAUAAUAUAUUGAGCCGCAUGGUUCAAUAGUGAAAGACGGUUUUGCUGUCACUUAUAGAUGGAUCCGCGCCGCAUUAGCUAGUUGGUAAGGUAACGGCUUACCAAGGCAACGAUGCGUAGCCGACCUGAGAGGGUGAUCGGCCACACUGGGACUGAGACACGGUCCAGACUCCUACGGGAGGCAGCAGUAGGGAAUCUUCCGCAAUGGGCGAAAGCCUGACGGAGCAACGCCGCGUGAGUGAAGAAGGUCUUCGGAUCGUAAAACUCUGUUAUUAGGGAAGAACAAAUGGGUAAGUAACUAUGCACGUCUUGACGGUACCUAAUCAGAAAGCAACGGCUAACUACGUG